This 556-nucleotide unclassified non-coding RNA is filed under the name Melitaea cinxia (Glanville fritillary). RNAcentral describes it as "misc RNA ENSMCXG00005016161.1". Lineage: Eukaryota; Metazoa; Arthropoda; Insecta; Lepidoptera; Nymphalidae. The record is from RNAcentral.
CAGUCAGUGUGCUACGGCGACGCGCAGUGCACGUGAGUAUUGUGCUUACGCGCAUCUCGUUCGUUCACCCCAAGUUUACGAUCGAAACGUCAGCUGUCACAUUUUGACGUUUCGUAACGAGCCACGAGCGAUUGAGCGCGUGAAUCCGUAUCGCGUUUUCGAAAAAAAAAAAGUGCUGUACGGUGUUAUGGCGCGAGAUUUUUUUCGUACGAAUAAAUCAAGUAGCAUAAAAAUGUUUUGACGUUCCGCUCGGCGGAUCCGUGUUAGUGUUGUGAUGAUACCGAUAUCGAUUGUGUUGUUUUGUGUAACAUAGCAAUAGCUGGUGUUUCGGUGGGAUUGUUGUUAUGCUGUUAUCAUGACACAUUGAUGUCGUACGAAGCUGAUAUGUCUAUAAUUAGCGAGCUGCGAUGGCUGCAAGACGACGAGUUAUUUGCUUUAUCCUUACAAAACGGUGAGUGUCACACCUUUGCGGUAACUUACACACAUUUGCGGUAAGCUACACCGUUUAUGGCGACUAACAUCUGUCUUCGUGUUCAAUAUACUCGAUUAGACUAAG